This is a long non-coding RNA of Oreochromis niloticus (Nile tilapia), 1736 nucleotides long. RefSeq lists it as uncharacterized. Lineage: Eukaryota; Metazoa; Chordata; Actinopteri; Cichliformes; Cichlidae. The transcript has 3 exons. The record is from RefSeq and is a predicted model, not a curated record.
GAGGACAUCUAAUUGACAUACCACUUACCCCAGCUGCUAACCAUCAACAAUAACCCUGAGCCUAAUCCUAACCUUAACCUAACUGUAACCCUGACACUAAAAACUCAUUUUGAGCCUCAAACAUGUCUUCACACUUGUGGGGACGGGACUGUUGGUCCCCACAAGUAUAGUAGGAUUCCAGUUUUUGGAAAAGAUGUCUAAACACAUGGCCACACACACUGAGGUGGUGGUGUUGGACAGCCGCUCGGUGCUGCAGGAGGUGACGUGAUGAGGGUUAAAGGGCGUCCUCGAGCUCCUGCUGCCUCCUCACAUUUGAACUUUAAAUCUUGUUGCUCUGAUUUAACCGCCCGGCGCUGGGACGUUCUGUUCUGGACUCAUCGUCACAGAUCUCUGCAACAAUCCUGCCUCAGCUCUUUGGGCUGCAGCUUCUGCUCUGAGCCCUCUCUCCUCAUCCUCGGCCUUCGUCCCUCCAAAGCUGCAGACGUCUCUGCACAGCAGCACGAUGCUGACACACCUCAGCUCUGCUUUACGUCACAAAUCUGCCGCAGAGGGCUUCAGCCACACAGCAGCUGCAGAGGUGUCAGGUUUGAAUCCCAGCACGUGACCGCCGUGGUUUCACAUGUUCUGUUAUUCUGGAUUAUUCAGGAUUACAGAUUACUCAGAUUACUCUUACAUCUAAACAUCACCUCAGAACCUCUAAUGUGGUCUGAAGAUUUGAUCAUAGUUCAUUUAUUCAUCAUGUUUCUCUCUUUCUGAUGUUUGUACAUUAUGUGAAUAUUACUGUGUGACUCUUUAUCAUUAUUGUUAUUAGCAGCAGUAGAAGAACGUGUGAUUUUUAGGAUAUUCAGCUGCAGAUGUUUGAAUGUGUUUGAAGACCUUUGAGCUGCAGCUGUGCUGAUAAGUUGGAGGGGGACACAGUUUAAUGUGACACCACUCUCCACCUGCUGUAAGGCUAACGGCUAACUACCUGUGUGAUGGCCCAGAGCUGCAGCAGAGAGGAGACUGACGUCCCUCUUUAUCCUGAAACAGCGUCCGCACAUUUGAUUGGCUCUAGCUUCCAAAGUUUCUCCUGCUGUUACAAAGUGGCAGGAAGUGGAGCUGCUGCUGGAGAUAAAGCACAGAGCUGGGUGGUUACAGGUGUGACUCAGGUACCUUCUUCCUGUUUACAGCAGGAGGAGCCAGGAAGAGCUGGAGCUACAGCACGCCGUCGAUCACGCAGAAGAAGAAAAACACAACUGGACAAAAAUCACCUCGCAGUGUUUUAAACUAAAGAGGAACCCAGCAAUCAGCCCACAGCCUACGAGCAGCAGCGGGGGACAGUGGGGAGGAAGAACUGUCUUCAAACAGGAAGAAACUUGAAAGAGCUUGCAGAAUAAAACGUGAAUAAAUAAACAGCAUGAAUUUAUUUCACUUCUUUUUGAAAUUUCAAGUUAGGAAAACAGUAUUCACAAAUGUGCAGACUGAUAUUUACAUGUAUUUCUGUUACUGCAAACUUAAAACAAGUCAGCAAAAAAAUGUUACAAGAAGACUUUUCAAAAUAAAGAUCACAUUUUAUUCUGCAAGCUCCCAUGUCUUCACGUUCUCACAGAAACACUCAGUGCAUCAUGGGAAGUCAUCCAGCAGCCCGAGCCUGUAGCAGCUUGUAACAGCUACACAAAGUGAUACUAUACAACAGAGCGAGCUAACAACGCCGGGACCUCCAUGCCGUCUUUGUGUGAAUACACCUGUAGUACACU